Molecule: ribosomal RNA, 478 nt
Filed under: uncultured bacterium
Lineage: Bacteria
Description: partial 16S ribosomal RNA
Rfam family: Bacterial small subunit ribosomal RNA
Source: RNAcentral
GAUGAACGCUGGCGGCGUGCUUAACACAUGCAAGUCGAACGGGAAAUAUUUCAUUGGGACUUCGGUGGGUUUGAUUUAUUUCUAGUUGCUGACGGGUGAGUAACGCGUGGGUAACCUGCCUUAUACAGGGGGAUAACAGUCAGAAAUGUCUGCUAAUACCGCAUAAGCGCACAGAGCUGCAUGGCUCAGUUUUAAAAACUCCGGUGGUAUAAGAUGGACCCGCGUUGGAUUAGCUAGUUGGUGGGGUAACGGCCCACCAAGGCGACGAUCCAUAGCCGGCCUGAGAGGGAGAACGGAGACAUUGGGACUGAGACACGGCCCAGAAUCCUACGGGAGGCAGCAGUGGGGAAUAUUGCACAAUGGGGGAAACCCUGAUGCAGCGACGCCGCGUGAAGGAAGAAGUAUCUCGGUAAGUAAACUUCUAUAAGCAGGGAAGAUAGUGACGGUACCUGACUAAGAAGCCCCGGCUAACUACGUG